UACGGAGGAUGCGAGCGUUAUCCGGAUUUAUUGGGUUUAAAGGGUGCGUAGGCGGGCAUUUAGGCCGGCGGUCAAAUGUCGGGGCUCAACCCCGGCCUGCCGUCGGAACUGGGUGCCUUGAGUGGGCGAGAAGUAUGCGGAAUGCGUGGUGUAGCGGUGAAAUGCAUAGAUAUCACGCAGAACCCCGAUUGCGAAGGCAGCAUACCGGCGCCCUACUGACGCUGAGGCACGAAAGUGCGGGUAUCGAACAGG
This 252-nucleotide ribosomal RNA is filed under the name uncultured bacterium. RNAcentral describes it as "partial 16S ribosomal RNA". It matches the Rfam family "Bacterial small subunit ribosomal RNA", at positions 524 to 776 of the family's 1533-position model. The record is from RNAcentral.